Molecule: ribosomal RNA, 451 nt
Filed under: uncultured bacterium
Lineage: Bacteria
Description: partial 16S ribosomal RNA
Rfam family: Bacterial small subunit ribosomal RNA
Source: RNAcentral
AGCGAACGCUGGCGGCAUGCCUAACACAUGCAAGUCGCACGGGGGGGCUUCGGCCUCCCAGUGGCGGACGGGUGAGGAACGCGUAGGGACCUGUCGAGGGGUGGGGGAUAACCGCGGGAAACUGCGUCUAAUACCGCAUGACGCCGCGGCGUGACAGCCGGGGCCAAAGGCGAAAGCCGCCCGCCGAGGGGCCUGCGUCCGAUUAGCUGGUUGGCGGGGUAGCGGCCCACCAAGGCGUCGAUCGGUAGCUGGUCUGAGAGGGUGAUCAGCCACACCGGGACUGAGACACGGCCCGGACUCCUACGGGAGGCAGCAGUGGGGAAUAUUGGACAAUGGGCGCAAGCCUGAUCCAGCAAUGCCGCGUGGGUGAAGAAGGUCUUCGGAUUGUAAAGCCCUUUCGGCGGGGACGAUGGUGACGGUACCCGCAGAAGAAGCCCCGGCUAACUUCGUG